UACAGGGGGGGCAAGCGUUGUUCGGAAUUACUGGGCGUAAAGGGCUUGUAGGUGGCCAACUAAGUCAGACGUGAAAUCCCUCAGCUUAACUGGGGAACUGCGUCUGAUACUGGAUGGCUAGAGUUUGGGAGAGGGAUGCGGAAUUCCAGGUGUAGCGGUGAAAUGCGUAGAUAUCUGGAGGAACACCGGUGGCGAAGGCGGCAUCCUGGACCAACACUGACACUGAGGAGCGAAAGCCAGGGGAGCAAACGGG
Molecule: ribosomal RNA, 253 nt
Filed under: uncultured bacterium
Lineage: Bacteria
Description: partial 16S ribosomal RNA
Rfam family: Bacterial small subunit ribosomal RNA
Source: RNAcentral